AGCUGGAACCAUUUCCCCUCCUGCUGUCACUCCAGGCUCCUCACAGCCAGGACCAUCAGCCAGCUUCAGGUGUUUCAGAUCCUCUGAAAAACAAGCUCUGAAAGGCUUCUCCUGUGAUAAACUGUCUGGUGUGGAUGCAAAUUUGGCAUGUUGGAAGAGAAGGAAGAGCAGGAAAUGCAUGAUUUGCCUGCAGGGAAAGAGCCCAGGGAAAAUGGAAACACAGCCCAGGUUGGAAACACCUACAAGACAAAGAUCUCUCCUGUGAUGACUUCACAAAUAAAGAUUUAAAGCUAUUAAUAGUAACAGCUCUAAGAGAUCAAUAGUUGUUCAGACCUAAAAGUCUGAUUUUUCCCCAGCUGAGGGAGAGGUUGGAAGGUAC
Molecule: long non-coding RNA, 379 nt
Organism: Passer montanus (Eurasian tree sparrow)
Lineage: Eukaryota; Metazoa; Chordata; Aves; Passeriformes; Passeridae
Exons: 3
Source: RefSeq, a predicted model, not a curated record